Molecule: small RNA, 28 nt
Filed under: Bombyx mori (domestic silkworm)
Lineage: Eukaryota; Metazoa; Arthropoda; Insecta; Lepidoptera; Bombycidae
Description: ovarian small RNA-30412
Source: RNAcentral
UGAAACCAAAUUUCUUCAGUGAUGCGUC